RNAcentral lists this ribosomal RNA (253 nucleotides) under uncultured bacterium. RNAcentral describes it as "partial 16S ribosomal RNA". It matches the Rfam family "Bacterial small subunit ribosomal RNA", at positions 524 to 776 of the family's 1533-position model. The record is from RNAcentral.
UACGUAGGGGGCAAGCGUUGUCCGGAAUCAUUGGGCGUAAAGAGCGUGUAGGCGGCUCGAUAAGUCUGCUGUGAAAGUCCAGGGCUCAACCCUGGAAGGCCGGUGGAAACUGUCGGGCUAGAGUCCGGAAGAGGCGAGUGGAAUUCCCGGUGUAGCGGUGAAAUGCGCAGAUAUCAGGAGGAACACCAAUGGCGAAGGCAGCUCGCUGGGACGGUACUGACGCUGAGGCGCGAAAGCGUGGGGAGCAAACAGG